Molecule: long non-coding RNA, 470 nt
Organism: Hemibagrus wyckioides
Lineage: Eukaryota; Metazoa; Chordata; Actinopteri; Siluriformes; Bagridae
Exons: 3
Source: RefSeq, a predicted model, not a curated record
UGCAUCAGUUUCACAACUGACAAACUUAAGCAAAACCAGCACAUGUUCAUCUUGGAGCAGGAGGAAUCUAACAGGUGGCACUGAAUGGACUUUAUUGACUUUGGCUUAGCCCUACAUUGACCUCAUUGACUAGAAGAAUCCUAAACUGAUGACCAUCCAGAGGAGCACUCAGUCUCACACUGUAAUGCAGACCUACUGAAUCUUGCCUCCUGCAUCUACCAUUCCUAAGGACAAAUGGACAGGCUGUAAAGAAACUUUGCUGGAUACUAACCACGUGCAAUACAGAGAAAAGCAGUGACCUGAGUAUUAUGUAGGCAAGACAGUCCAUCUAAGCAAACGAGUGACAUCCAGGCACACUGGAGGAACCUCUUUGGUAGAAGUGGAUGAAGAUGAUGUUGGAAAACCUAAUUGAGAUAUUUAUUUAUUUUGUGUGUGUGUGUGAGAGAGAGAGGGAGAGAGAGAAAGAGAGA